AUUGAACGCUGGCGGCAUGCUUUACACAUGCAAGUCGAACGGCGGCGCGGGCUUCGGCCUGGCGGCGAGUGGCGAACGGGUGAGUAAUACAUCGGAACGUGCCCAGUAGUGGGGGAUAGCUCGGCGAAAGCCGGAUUAAUACCGCAUACGGCCUGAGGGUGAAAGCGGGGGAUCUUCGGACCUCGCGCUAUUGGAGCGGCCGAUGGCAGAUUAGCUAGUUGGUGGGGUAAAGGCCUACCAAGGCGACGAUCUGUAGCUGGUCUGAGAGGACGACCAGCCACACUGGGACUGAGACACGGCCCAGACUCCUACGGGAGGCAGCAGUGGGGAAUUUUGGACAAUGGGCGAAAGCCUGAUCCAGCAAUGCCGCGUGUGUGAUGAAGGCCUUCGGGUUGUAAAGCACUUUUGGCGGGAACGAAAAGGACUGUGCCAAUACCACGGUUCGAUGACGGUACCCGCAGAAUAAGCACCGGCUAACUACGUG
RNAcentral lists this ribosomal RNA (484 nucleotides) under uncultured bacterium. Its description in RNAcentral is "partial 16S ribosomal RNA". It matches the Rfam family "Bacterial small subunit ribosomal RNA", at positions 29 to 507 of the family's 1533-position model. The record is from RNAcentral.